RNAcentral lists this ribosomal RNA (367 nucleotides) under uncultured organism. RNAcentral's name for it is "bacterial SSU rRNA". It matches the Rfam family "Bacterial small subunit ribosomal RNA", at positions 526 to 896 of the family's 1533-position model. The record is from RNAcentral.
CGAAGGGUCCAAGCGUUAUCCGGAUUUAUGGGUUUAAAGGGUGCGUAGGCGGGUUGUUAAGUCAGUGGUGAAAGCUUGCAGCUUAACUGUAAAAUUGCCAUUGAUACUGACGAUCUUGAGUACACUUGAAGUGGGCGGAAUAUGUCAUGUAGAGGUGAAAUUCUUAGAGAUGACAUAGAACACCGAUUGCGAAGGCAGCUCACUAAAUUGUAACUGACGCUGAGGCACGAAAGCGUGGGGAUCAAACAGGAUUAGAUACCCUGGUAGUCCACGCCCUAAACGAUGAUUACUAGAUGUGUGCAAUAUACCGUACGCGUCACAGCUAAAGCGUUAAGUAAUCCACCUGGGGAGUACGGCCGCAAGGCUG